This 254-nucleotide ribosomal RNA is filed under the name uncultured bacterium. Its description in RNAcentral is "partial 16S ribosomal RNA". It matches the Rfam family "Bacterial small subunit ribosomal RNA", at positions 524 to 776 of the family's 1533-position model. The record is from RNAcentral.
CACGUAGGGGGCAAGCGUUGUCCGGAUUUAUUGGGCGUAAAGAGCUCGUAGGCGGCUUGGUAAGUCGGGUGUGAAACCUCCAGGCUCAACCUGGAGACGCCACUCGAUACUGCUAUGGCUAGAGUCCGGUAGGGGAGCGUGGAAUUCCUGGUGUAGCGGUGAAAUGCGCAGAUAUCGGGAGGAACACCAGUGGCGAAGGCGACUUCCUGGCCUGUUCUUGACGCUGAGGCGCGAAAGCUAGGGUAGCAAACGGG